This 65-nucleotide transfer RNA is filed under the name Cucujoidea sp. 46 KM-2017. Its description in RNAcentral is "tRNA-Glu". Lineage: Eukaryota; Metazoa; Arthropoda; Insecta; Coleoptera. The record is from RNAcentral.
UUUUAUAUAGUUUAAGAAAAACAUUACAUUUUCACUGUAAAAUUAAUUAACUUAAUUUAUAAAAU